RNAcentral lists this transfer RNA (88 nucleotides) under Acidobacteriota bacterium. RNAcentral's name for it is "Acidobacteria bacterium tRNA-Leu". It matches the Rfam family "tRNA". Rfam says of the family: Transfer RNA (tRNA) molecules are approximately 80 nucleotides in length. Their secondary structure includes four short double-helical elements and three loops (D, anti-codon, and T loops). Further hydrogen bonds mediate the characteristic L-shaped molecular structure. tRNAs have two regions of fundamental functional importance: the anti-codon, which is responsible for specific mRNA codon recognition, and the 3' end, to which the tRNAs corresponding amino acid is attached (by aminoacyl-tRNA synthetases). tRNAs cope with the degeneracy of the genetic code in two manners: having more than one tRNA (with a specific anti-codon) for a particular amino acid; and 'wobble' base-pairing, i.e. permitting non-standard base-pairing at the 3rd anti-codon position. The record is from RNAcentral. Lineage: Bacteria; Pseudomonadati; Acidobacteriota. RNAcentral also lists the same sequence under 1 other name.
GCCGGGAUGGCGGAAUUGGCAGACGCAGCGGACUCAAAAUCCGCCGGUGCUUAGCACCUUGGGGGUUCAACUCCCCCUCCCGGCACCA